AAAAAAAAAAAAAAAAAGACAGAUGAUACUCUGGUGGGGCAACUGUAACGCCAACAAGUAGCAGGCUUGCUGGGUGUUUCUUCUUCUUCUUCUUCACUUGUGAACUUUCCCUUUACCAUUACUUUCUCCUUCAUGUAAUUAUUGUGUGAUCUUGA
This 155-nucleotide non-coding RNA is filed under the name Heterosigma akashiwo. Lineage: Eukaryota; Raphidophyceae; Chattonellales; Chattonellaceae. The record is from RNAcentral.